RNAcentral lists this ribosomal RNA (490 nucleotides) under uncultured soil bacterium. RNAcentral's name for it is "bacterial SSU rRNA". It matches the Rfam family "Bacterial small subunit ribosomal RNA", at positions 26 to 525 of the family's 1533-position model. The record is from RNAcentral.
AGAUUGAACGCUGGCGGCAUGCCUUACACAUGCAAGUCGAACGGCAGCACGGGAGCAAUCCUGGUGGCGAGUGGCGAACGGGUGAGUAACACAUCGGAACGUGCCCAAUCGUGGGGGAUAACUACGCGAAAGCGUAGCUAAUACCGCAUACGAUCUACGGAUGAAAGCAGGGGAUCGCAAGACCUUGCGCGAAUGGAGCGGCCGAUGGCAGAUUAGGUAGUUGGUGAGGUAAAGGCUCACCAAGCCAUCGAUCUGUAGCUGGUCUGAGAGGACGACCAGCCACACUGGGACUGAGACACGGCCCAGACUCCUACGGGAGGCAGCAGUGGGGAAUUUUGGACAAUGGGCGCAAGCCUGAUCCAGCCAUGCCGCGUGCAGGUGAAGGCCUUCGGUUGUAAACUGCUUUUGUACGGAACGAAAGCUCUUUCUAAUACAAAGGCUCAUGACGGUACCGUAAGAAUAAGCAACCGGCUAACGUACGUAGCCAACG